Panicum virgatum (switchgrass) is the source of this 537-nucleotide long non-coding RNA. RefSeq lists it as uncharacterized. The transcript has 2 exons. The record is from RefSeq and is a predicted model, not a curated record. Lineage: Eukaryota; Viridiplantae; Streptophyta; Magnoliopsida; Poales; Poaceae.
AAGCUUCUUCCAUGCUCCACUUCUCCUCUCGCUGCCACAACGCGCCGUGCUGCUCUGCUCUUCUUCGCUCUCGCGCACGCACCGGCCGAGCUUGCCUACGCCGCCUGCCUGCGAGCGCUCGCCAGUCGCCACGCCCGCCAUGGCCAUGGCCGCCCCUCCACGCCGAGCCGCCGCUCGAGCCAGCGCCGACCCCCCACCAACCCCCAAAUCCGUUUGCUCUCGUCCCAACGCAGAUCCCAGGCCCGGCCAUCACCUCCACGCCUCGCCGGAACGCCGCCACAGCGGCACAGUACCGCCGCCGGCCGCCGGCCGCCGUGGAACCGCCGCCACGGACCACCUCCUCGCGCUCUAAGACCAUCCAGAGGUACGAUAGAUGAACCUCGUGAGGGAUGUGACAUUGAAGCCGAGCCACAAGACGGUGAAUGGUGGACCCAUCUAGAAGAUGGAUGGAUGGAUUCCGAUGUGCAUGACCGAAGGCAGGUGCUCGCCAAGCGAGUAUCAUCUAACUAACACUGACUCAGUGUUCAUCCCAGGCAA